AUGAUGCGUGAGGAGCUCGCGAUUGGGGAGGAAUGCAAGUCUGCGGGGAUGCCGCCGUUGGUGCCCGGCGCGGUCGACGGUGGGUUCUCGGUGCGGGUGUCCAACUUCCCGUCGGACGAGGUCGACGGGGACCAACUGGGUCUGGGCGAGGCCGUGGACGACGAGGCAGAGGAGUUCAUCGCCCGCUUCUACGCCCAGCUGCGUCGGUAG
RNAcentral lists this ribosomal RNA (210 nucleotides) under Triticum aestivum (bread wheat). Its description in RNAcentral is "partial small subunit ribosomal RNA". Lineage: Eukaryota; Viridiplantae; Streptophyta; Magnoliopsida; Poales; Poaceae. The record is from RNAcentral.